CUAGCGUAAAAUAUUACUGCUGCGGUUAAAAAGCUCGUAGUUGAAUCUAGUCGUGUCCGUUGGGUUUGUCGUUGGCGUUUAUUCGUCUCUGGCGUUAAUUCACGGCCGAUUUUUGCUGGUUUGCUGUUGGUCUUCGGAUCUUCGGUGGCUAGCGAGUUACUUUGAUCAAAUCAGAGUGCUCAAAACAGGCGAAAGCUUGUAUGAUUUCUCGAGGAAUAACAGAAGAGGACUUCGGUUCUAUUUGUUGGUUCCAGAAUCGUUUAAUGGUUAAGAGGGACAAUUCGGGGGCAAACGUAUCCUCGCGCGAGGGGUGAAAUCCGUAGACCGUGAGGAGACGACCAAUAG
Molecule: ribosomal RNA, 345 nt
Filed under: uncultured eukaryote
Lineage: Eukaryota
Description: bacterial SSU rRNA
Rfam family: Eukaryotic small subunit ribosomal RNA
Source: RNAcentral